UUCCGGUUGAUCCCGCCGGACCUGACUGCUAUCGGAUUGAUACUAAGCCAUGCGAGUCUUUGUAGUAAUACAAGGCAGACGGCUCAGUAACACGUAGUCAACCUACCCUAUGGACGAGAAUAAUCUCGGGAAACUGAGCAUAAUUCUUGAUAGAUCAUAAUGCCUGGAAUGGUUUAUGGUUAAAAUGAUUCGUCGCCAUAGGAUGGGACUGCGGCCUAUCAGCUUGUUGGUGAGGUAAUGGCCCACCAAGGCGAUUACAGGUACGGGCUCUGAGAGGAGAAGCCCGGAGAUGGGUACUGAGACACGGACCCAGGCCCUAUGGGGCGCAGCAGGCGAGAAAACUUUGCAAUGUGCGAAAGCACGACAAGGUUAAUCCGAGUGAUUUCUGCUAAAGAAAUCUUUUGCCAGUCGUAAAACCGCUGGUGAAUAAGGGGUGGGCAAGUUCUGGUGUCAGCCGCCGCGGUAAAACCAGCACCUCAAGUGGUCAGGAUGAUUAUUGGGCCUAAAGCAUCCGUAGCCGGCUUUGUAAGUUUUCGGUUAAAUCCAUGUGCUCAACGCAUGGGCUGCCGAAAAUACUGCAUAGCUAGGGAGUGGAAGAGGUAGACGGUACUCAGUAGGUAGGGGUAAAAUCCUUUGAUCUAUUGAUGACCACCUGUGGCGAAGGCGGUCUACCAGAACACGUUCGACGGUGAGGGAUGAAAGCUGGGGGAGCAAACCGGAUUAGAUACCCGGGUAGUCCCAGCUGUAAACGAUGCAGACUCGAUGAUGCAUUGGCAUAAUAGCCAUUGCAGUGUCGCAGGGAAGCCGUUAAGUCUGCCGCCUGGGAAGUACGUACGCAAGUAUGAAACUUAAAGGAAUUGGCGGGGGAGCACCACAAGGGGUGAAGCCUGCGGUUCAAUUGGAGUCAACGCCGGG
RNAcentral lists this ribosomal RNA (915 nucleotides) under uncultured archaeon. RNAcentral describes it as "bacterial SSU rRNA". It matches the Rfam family "Archaeal small subunit ribosomal RNA", at positions 1 to 922 of the family's 1478-position model. The record is from RNAcentral.